UUCGUCAAAGUGGAGAUUGUUAGAAUAAGUGGCUCAUAUUAAGUGGUAUUCUUAUUUGAGUGGUACACUGGUAUUCUAACGGAGCGGAGCGAAGCGACGAGAUAUAUUUAUCUUUGGGAUAAUUAUGUAAUAUUUUAUUUUACCAGGGAUGCUGAUAGGGAUUGGGACUCCAGGGUUAGGGUUUAGCUAUAAAUAUCUUGUAACCCUUGUUAUUUUGGUGAUAGUGAAAGUUACGGCCGUUUCGCUCCCGUGGACGUAGGCACAUUGCCGAACCACGUAAAUCCCUGUGUUCUCUUUUCUUCUUCCUCUUCCUCUCUCAACUCUGUGCAUUGUUCUGUUCGCCGUUUGGAUCCUGUAUUUUCCGCAACA
Molecule: long non-coding RNA, 369 nt
Filed under: Phoenix dactylifera (date palm)
Lineage: Eukaryota; Viridiplantae; Streptophyta; Magnoliopsida; Arecales; Arecaceae
Description: long non-coding RNA (PDAC_LNC018608)
Source: RNAcentral